RNAcentral lists this ribosomal RNA (461 nucleotides) under uncultured bacterium. Its description in RNAcentral is "SSU rRNA". It matches the Rfam family "Bacterial small subunit ribosomal RNA", at positions 26 to 518 of the family's 1533-position model. The record is from RNAcentral.
AGAAUCAACGCUGGCGGCGUGCCUAACACAUGCAAGUCGAACGAGAAAGUGGAGCAAUCCAUGAGUAAAGUGGCGCACGGGUGAGUAACACGUGACUAACCUACCCUUGAGUGGGGGGAUAACCUAGAGAAAUCUGGGCUAAUACCGCAUAAUACCUUCGGGUCAAAGGAGCAAUUCGCUUAAGGAGGGGGUCGCGGCCGAUUAGUUAGUUGGCGGGGUAAUGGCCCACCAAGACUAUGAUCGGUAUCCGGCCUGAGAGGGCGCACGGACACACUGGAACUGAAACACGGUCCAGACUCCUACGGGAGGCAGCAGUGGGGAAUUUUGCGCAAUGGGGGAAACCCUGACGCAGCAACGCCGCGUGGAGGAUGAAGUCCCUUGGGACGUAAACUCCUUUCGAUCGGGACGAUUAUGACGGUACCGGAAGAAGAAGCCCCGGCUAACUUCGCGCCAGCAGCCGC